RNAcentral lists this ribosomal RNA (1827 nucleotides) under Streptomyces albidoflavus. Its description in RNAcentral is "partial 23S ribosomal RNA". It matches the Rfam family "Bacterial large subunit ribosomal RNA", at positions 1227 to 2925 of the family's 2925-position model. The record is from RNAcentral. Lineage: Bacteria; Bacillati; Actinomycetota; Actinomycetes; Kitasatosporales; Streptomycetaceae.
GGGUAGGGGAGCGUCGUGUGCCGGGUGAAGCAGCCGUGGAAGCGAGUUGUGGACGGUUCACGAGUGAGAAUGCAGGCAUGAGUAGCGAUUCACACGUGAGAAACGUGUGCGCCGAUUGACUAAGGGUUCCUGGGUCAAGCUGAUCUGCCCAGGGUAAGUCGGGACCUAAGGCGAGGCCGACAGGCGUAGUCGAUGGAUAACCGGUUGAUAUUCCGGUACCCGCUGUGAAGCGUCAAACAUYGAAUCCAGUGAUGCUAAGCCCGUGAAGCCGUUCCGGACCCUUCGGGGAAUGGAAAGUGGUGGAGCCGGUGGCCCGAGCUGGUAGUAGGUGAGUGAUGGGGUGACGCAGGAAGGUAGUCCAUCCCGGGCGGUGGUUGUCCCGGGGUAAGGGUGUAGGACGUCAGGUAGGUAAAUCCGCCUGGCAUAGAGUCUGAGACCUGAUGCCGAGCCGAUUGUGGUGAAGUGGAUGAUCCUAUGCUGUCGAGAAAAGCCUCUAGCGAGUUUUAUGGCGGCCCGUACCCUAAACCGACUCAGGUGGUCAGGUAGAGAAUACCGAGGCGUUCGGGUGAACUAUGGUUAAGGAACUCGGCAAAAUGCCCCCGUAACUUCGGGAGAAGGGGGGCCAUGUCUGGUGAUGAGUCUUGCACUCUGAGCUGGGUGUGGCCGCAGAGACCAGCGAGAAGCGACUGUUUACUAAAAACACAGGUCCGUGCGAAGCCGUAAGGCGAUGUAUACGGACUGACGCCUGCCCGGUGCUGGAACGUUAAGGGGACCGGUUAGUCACAUUUCGGUGUGGCGAAGCUGAGAACUUAAGCGCCAGUAAACGGCGGUGGUAACUAUAACCAUCCUAAGGUAGCGAAAUUCCUUGUCGGGUAAGUUCCGACCUGCACGAAUGGCGUAACGACUUCUCGACUGUCUCAACCAUAGGCCCGGUGAAAUUGCAUUACGAGUAAAGAUGCUCGUUUCGCGCAGCAGGACGGAAAGACCCCGGGACCUUUACUACAGUUUGAUAUUGGUGUUCGGUUCGGCUUGUGUAGGAUAGGUGGGAGACUGUGAAGCAUGCACGCCAGUGUGUGUGGAGUCGUCGUUGAAAUACCACUCUGGUCGUGCUGGAUGUCUAACCUGGGUCCGUGAUCCGGAUCAGGGACAGUGUCUGAUGGGUAGUUUAACUGGGGCGGUUGCCUCCUAAAGAGUAACGGAGGCGCCCAAAGGUUCCCUCAGCCUGGUUGGUAAUCAGGUGUUGAGUGUAAGUGCACAAGGGAGCUUGACUGUGAGACCGACGGGUCGAGCAGGGACGAAAGUCGGGACUAGUGAUCCGGCGGUGGCUUGUGGAAGCGCCGUCGCUCAACGGAUAAAAGGUACCCCGGGGAUAACAGGCUGAUCUUCCCCAAGAGUCCAUAUCGACGGGAUGGUUUGGCACCUCGAUGUCGGCUCGUCGCAUCCUGGGGCUGGAGUCGGUCCCAAGGGUUGGGCUGUUCGCCCAUUAAAGCGGUACGCGAGCUGGGUUUAGAACGUCGUGAGACAGUUCGGUCCCUAUCCGCUGUGCGCGUAGGAAUAUUGAGAAGGGCUGUCCCUAGUACGAGAGGACCGGGACGGACGAACCUCUGGUGUGCCAGUUGUUCUGCCAAGGGCAUGGCUGGUUGGCUACGUUCGGGAGGGAUAACCGCUGAAAGCAUCUAAGCGGGAAGCCUGCUUCGAGAUGAGUAUUCCCACCUCCUUGAGAGGGUAAGGCUCCCAGUAGACGACUGGGUUGAUAGGCCGGAUAUGGAAGCCCUGUAAGGGGUGGAGUUGACCGGUACUAAUAGGCCGAGGGCUUGUCCUCAGUUG